GUUAGGAACAGGGUUAGGGUUAGGAACAGGGUUAGGAACAGGGUUAGGGUUAGAAACAGGGUUAGGAACAGGGUAAGGAACGGGGGUUAGGGUUAGGAACAGGGUUAGGGUUAGAAACGGGGUUAGGUUCAGGGUAA
Long non-coding RNA from Sphaeramia orbicularis (orbiculate cardinalfish), 137 nucleotides. RefSeq lists it as uncharacterized. The transcript has 3 exons. Lineage: Eukaryota; Metazoa; Chordata; Actinopteri; Kurtiformes; Apogonidae. The record is from RefSeq and is a predicted model, not a curated record.